Molecule: ribosomal RNA, 253 nt
Filed under: uncultured bacterium
Lineage: Bacteria
Description: partial 16S ribosomal RNA
Rfam family: Bacterial small subunit ribosomal RNA
Source: RNAcentral
UACGUAGGGUGCAAGCGUUAUCCGGAAUUAUUGGGCGUAAAGAGCUCGUAGGCGGUUUGUCGCGUCUGCUGUGAAAGUCCGGGGCUCAACUCCGGAUCUGCGGUGGGUACGGGCAGACUAGAGUGAUGUAGGGGAGACUGGAAUUCCUGGUGUAGCGGUGAAAUGCGCAGAUAUCAGGAGGAACACCGAUGGCGAAGGCAGGUCUCUGGGCAUUAACUGACGCUGAGGAGCGAAAGCAUGGGGAGCGAACAGG